CCUACGGGGGGCAGCAGUGGGGAAUAUUGCACAAUGGGGGAAACCCUGAUGCAGCGACGCCGCGUGAGUGAAGAAGUAAUUCGUUAUGUAAAGCUCUAUCAGCAGGGAAGAAAAUGACGGUACCUGAGUAAGAAGCCCCGGCUAACUACGUGCCAGCAGCCGCGGUAAUACGUAGGGGGCAAGCGUUAUCCGGAUUUACUGGGUGUAAAGGGAGCGUAGACGGCAGUGCAAGUCUGGAGUGAAAGGCGGGGGCUCAACCCCCGGACUGCUCUGGAAACUGUACGGCUGGAGUGCAGGAGAGGUAAGUGGAAUUCCUAGUGUAGCGGUGGAAUGCGUAGAUAUUAGGAGGAACACCAGUGGCGAAGGCGGCUUACUGGACUGUAACUGACGUUGAGGCUCGAAAGCGUGGGGAGCAAACAGGAUUAGAUACCCUGGUAGUC
Molecule: ribosomal RNA, 440 nt
Filed under: uncultured bacterium
Lineage: Bacteria
Description: partial 16S ribosomal RNA
Rfam family: Bacterial small subunit ribosomal RNA
Source: RNAcentral